AGGGCAAUCUGGGAAAGUGGCCAAGCACGGUAUUAGGGAGCGAUGCACCCAGCCACAGCCUGCUGGAGGCAGCAGACCUCACCUUCCCCGGGCACUGGAUCAGGCUGUGCUGCUAUUCAAAAUGCUGCUGAGGAGCCAUGUAUUUAUUACAGAUGAGCAGUGGAAGAACAGAAGAGACAGGUUGGGUUAAGAGGCCAGAUCAAGGUAAAUCAUAGCAAACAAGAGACUGGAAGAUUUCAAAGAUCUAGUCACUAAAUAAGCAGAAAAUUACUCUUUUAAGAUAAAGUUAAAGGACAUUAU
RNAcentral lists this long non-coding RNA (300 nucleotides) under Anas platyrhynchos platyrhynchos (common mallard). Its description in RNAcentral is "lncRNA (ENSAPLG00000022740.1)". Lineage: Eukaryota; Metazoa; Chordata; Aves; Anseriformes; Anatidae. The record is from RNAcentral.